AUUUGCCAAUUACAUACUGAUAGAAUGGAAUAAGCAAAGAGCAUAAAAUAUAUUAUUUAUAUCAAUUCUUGCAAAAUACAGGUCCAUGCCAUAUGCAUAAUAUGUAAUGCACAUGGCAUAUUCGCCACAAAAAACACCGUAUCAAAUACGGACGUCUAUUCAACAGGUAUCGGAGAUGUGCACUUACCGAAAAUAUUAGAUUCUCUUUAUUCUGAUAAAUCCACAAAACAAAAUGAUAAACUCCAUUUGUAUCUCGUUAGAACUUUACAACACGUUGUCAUUCCAUUAUACAGACUGCGACACACUUCACCCGUGCCAAAUAGGGUGUCUUCAAUCAGGGGAGAUGUCAGAGUCGAAAAUUUUUCCUGCAUUGAAUGCUUGUCUGGUCGAGGUUUUGCAGUUGAUAGAAACCGGGAAUCUAAUCAUAUACAUUGAGCAUCUGGUUGGAUAUAUUGCGUGCUCAAUUCAAAAUUUAUCGAUGAUCAUAUACAAAUUUGGAUAUACAAAUAAGGGAAUAAUGAUCGAAAAUAUACAUCUGUUUAAAAAUGCGGGUAUUACAUUUGCAAUCCAUAAUAAACAGUUGAUUACACAAAGACACAUAUAAAAGGAAAUGUAUAAACGAAAAUAUAGUUUUAUUGUUUCAUUAGGAACCACAUAAUUAUUUACGGUCUCUGUAUGUCCAUAUUCAUUGAUUGAACAGGAGAGAGAGAGAGAGAGAGAGAGAGAGAGAGAGACUGUCCUACUUCGAUGUACAAUAUCAUUUCACAGAAGGAAAGAAAAUUGAUCACUGAUAUAAUGGUAAGCUUACAAGCAUUAAAAAAUUCCAGCUAUUUAAAAAUUUGUUAUUGACAAUAUAUUAAAAACUUACAGGAGUUGAUGCUUAUAAUUGAAUUCAUUACAAAUUCAAAAAAUAUAUAUAUACCAGUUUAAACUGCAUGUAGAAAAUACUGACUUUGUAUGUUAGAAUAACGGGAAAAAGUAAAUUGUCAAAAAAGUGGGGAGAGCAGACCAGCCCAGCCUCCCUGCCCACCCCAACCCCCUGUAUACGUGCCUGAAACAACAUAUCAAUUCGUGUUGAAAGAAAGGAGCAUAUUUGCAUUUCAUUAAAUUCCAAAGGAGCUCGAAUUUAUGUGUUCCCCUAUUAAUUAUUUUGUAUGCAAGAUUCGUUCCCGAAUUUAGAAUCAUGCUUUCAGUCAGAGCAGAAAUGAAUUCAUUUUGAAGUACAUCUAGUUUGAAUGCAGAUGUGGGGUUCCUUCCUUUAAUUUCAUCAGACUCAUUAGAACCCCCUCCCCCAAACUAUGCAGCUUUGUUUUUAUUGAUAUCUAAAUCGGCAUAUGAAUCCGGAUACAAAUUAUAUGAUGUUUUUUCGUGAUCAUAUAGAUAUCGAUACUAGAAAAUGUUUAUACUCUUGCCUUUUGCAUAUCCUACUAAUGCAUUACAGUAGAUUGACACUGUAUCAUAUCAAAUAAAACCUCAACACGAAUUUUACUGAUUUAUGAAUACUAACAUCUUAUCGAAUACAUUUGGAUAUGAAAUUUCGACGUACAGCGGUAUGUCUAUUUUCAGAAUAUAUCCAUUGCGCCAGAUCUACGAAAUGAAAAUAAUCAUUAUGGCAUGUUACAGAAACGUUAAAACACACAUGCUAUAGUCCUGCAAUGCAUGCAUGCGAUUUUUCUGAAUACAUGUAUUUAUGUAUUCGUGAAUGAAGUUCCUACGCUUAAAACUAUCUUGGCCUUUAUGCAUUAUGUUUUGUGAUUUUGGUUUACCAUUCCUUACACUGUAAAUGAAGGAAAACUUGGUAAAGGGUGCAAUUCUACACCAUACAAUUAGUAUGCAUGUAUGUGUUGAAAAGUAAAAUGUACAUGUAAUAACCAGACAUGUAUCGUCAUUUUUCAUGGGGGGGGGGGGGGGGGGUACAACAGGAUGAAAAAAAUGGAAAAUUGGAUUCUUCAAAAUUUCUUGCCAUUCAAAAUAAUAAUUAAAAAAGAUGAACGAAAACAGCAAUAAAAUAAAACAAAAAACCCAAACAAACCAAGAUGUUUUAUCCGAUGUUCAAAGUCCUAAAGUGGGGGUGAAGGGUUAAAAGAGUCUUUUACUUUGACUGCCUCAAUAAUUUCCCCCUACACUUCAUUUUCUUCCAUCGUUGGGGGUGGGAUAGGGUGGUUAGAGUCCUCUACUAUGAGUGCCUCAUAAUAUCUUCAUUUUCUUAAUUGGUGGUGGUGUGUGUCUUCUACUAUUAUAUCAGAACUUUCAAGCUGGGGUCAAGUUUGGGGGGGUUGGGGUUUGGGUUGUCACCCAAUAUAUUUUUUACUUGCAUUACAAAAUAACGGCCUCUCACUUCUGUCGGCGCGGGUUCGAAACCCGCUCGCGCCGGUUGGUGAGAAAGUUUCCCAGUUUACUUUCGGAAGGUCGGUGGUCUCUUCCCAGGUACAUUGUAUCUGGUUUCUCUCUUCCACCAACAAAAACUGGGUGCCACCAGAUAACUGAAAAAUUGUUGAGUGUGGCGGAAAACAUUAGAAAAAAAAUUGGAUAUUGUUAUCAAAAGUGGGGGACAGACACUCUUGUCCCCUCCCCUUGAUUCUAAGUACUUUGUACUUGACCUUUGUAUUUGGGAGAGGGCCUACAUAGGCUAUGCCUGUUGCCCAAUCCUGUUGAGCUUCUCAAUAAAAUAUGUUUAAAUAAAAAAACAAUUCUAUGUGCUUGAUAACUACGCAUAUGAUAAACUCUCAAUUAUUACAUUUUGCAUUACUACAAUUUGCGUCGAGUUCAACGCAGAAUGUAAUAAAGCAAAAUGGCAUAGAUAUAUAAGAUCUAUUGAGCGCCGAAUUAGCAUAAAAUGAAGUAAUUGAAAAUAACAUUAUUUAAAGAUAUGUUUAAUUUUUAAUUAUUGCGUGCUUUAAAUGAAUCAAAUAAAUCUGUAUUAUCAAUUAAUGAGAGCAAUAUUGAGUUACUGUUCUCUUAUAUUGAAUUAACGAUAUCAUUUGUCUUAAUAAGAGCGCGAUUAUUACAAGAUCAUCGUUUGAAUCUCUCUCUCUCUCUCUCUCUCUCUCUCUCUCUCCAUACACUCAUGCAGUGUUGUAUAUGCAAAUUAUCUUUGCACAAAGGAUUUAUGUGCCUAAAUGAUAUCCUGAUUUAUAAAUCUGCAAUACUCUGACAAGUAAAUCAUACAGUAUAAGGAUUCAUGCACAAUACAGGGUAACUAUUCUACUCUGAUACUUCCCCUGAUUGAAGAUAGCUGAUCGGCACGGGCUAAGUGUGUCGCAGUCUGUACAAUGGACAAUGUUGUUUACUGUUGGAAUACAAAUGGAGUGUAUCGUUUUGUUUCAUGGAUUAUGCUAAUAAAGGGAGUUUUACUACUACUUUGAGUAUUUUCGACAAGUGUACACGUACAUUUGUACAUCCUCGGUCCUUUACAGAUAUUACGAGUAGACCCAGUCAGAAAACGCAUUUUGCCAACUGCAAUCCAUAUGGAGAAGUGGGUCGAUCAGUAUGAACACCAAACUGAAAAUAUACAACAGUAACGUGAAAUCUGUGUUACUCUAUGGGUCUGAAUGCUGGAGAAUAAUACAAACUGACAUGAAAAAACUCUCCUCAUUCCAUAACACCUGCCUCCGAAAAAUCUGUAAAAUCUACUGGCCCCAAAAAAUAUCGAAUAAAGAUCUAUAUCUUAAGACCAAACAGUGCUGCAUGAAGAUGGAGAUUAAAAGAAGAAGGUGGCGUUGGAUUGGGCAUAUUCUACGAAAAGGAGGAGAAGAUAUCACUAUGAUUGCUCCGAGAUGGACACCUGAUGGAAAGGGAAAAAGAGGACGCCCAAAAGAGACAUGGCGAAGGAUGGUAGAACAGGAGAUGAAAGAUAUAGGGAAGACCUGGGGGGGGGGGGGGGGAUAGAAAAGAAAGCAAAAGACAGGCAGUUGUGGCGUCAGCUGGUUGAGGCCUUAUGUGCUGAUAGGCACGAAGAGGAUAAGUAAUAUCCAUAUGUCCAAAUGGUUUGAAUAGAAUACAAAGUACUCGAGUUAUUAUCCAGAAACCAGUUUUAACAGUCAACUUCUAUGUGGCCAUGGGGAAGAAAUCUGCACUUCCUGGUAUGGUUCCUCAUAUGAUGACAGC
Molecule: long non-coding RNA, 4107 nt
Organism: Ostrea edulis (European flat oyster)
Lineage: Eukaryota; Metazoa; Mollusca; Bivalvia; Ostreida; Ostreidae
Exons: 3
Source: RefSeq, a predicted model, not a curated record